This 447-nucleotide ribosomal RNA is filed under the name uncultured bacterium. RNAcentral's name for it is "bacterial SSU rRNA". It matches the Rfam family "Bacterial small subunit ribosomal RNA", at positions 330 to 792 of the family's 1533-position model. The record is from RNAcentral.
CCCAGACUCCUACGGGAGGCAGCAGUGGGGAAUAUUGCACAAUGGGGGGAACCCUGAUGCAGCGACGCCGCGUGGGCGAGGAAGUAUUUCGGUAUGUAAAGCCCUAUCGGCAGGGAAGAAGAAAUGACGGUACCUGAGUAAGAAGCCCCGGCUAACUACGUGCCAGCAGCCGCGGGAAUACGUAGGGGGCAAGCGUUAUCCGGAUUUACUGGGUGUAAAGGGAGCGUAGACGGCAUGGCAAGUCAGAUGUGAAAGCCCGGGGCUCAACCCCGGGACUGCAUUUGAAACUGUCAGGCUGGAGUGCAGGAGAGGUAAGUGGAAUUCCUAGUGUAGCGGUGAAAUGCGUAGAUAUUAGGAGGAACACCAGUGGCGAAGGCGGCUUACUGGACUGUAACUGACGUUGAGGCUCGAAAGCGUGGGGAGCAAACAGGAUUAGAUACCCGGGUA